Molecule: ribosomal RNA, 468 nt
Filed under: uncultured bacterium
Lineage: Bacteria
Description: partial 16S ribosomal RNA
Rfam family: Bacterial small subunit ribosomal RNA
Source: RNAcentral
GACGAACGCUGGCGGCGUGCUUAACACAUGCAAGUCGAACGGAAAGGCCCUGCUUUUGUGGGGUGCUCGAGUGGCGAACGGGUGAGUAACACGUGAGUAACCUGCCCUUGACUUUGGGAUAACUUCAGGAAACUGGGGCUAAUACCGGAUAGGAGCUCCUGCUGCAUGGUGGGGGUUGGAAAGUUUCGGCGGUUGGGGAUGGACUCGCGGCUUAUCAGCUUGUUGGUGGGGUAGUGGCUUACCAAGGCUUUGACGGGUAGCCGGCCUGAGAGGGUGACCGGCCACAUUGGGACUGAGAUAAGGCCCAGACUUCUACGGGAGGCAGGAGGGGGGAAUAUUGCACAAUGGGCGGAAGGCUGAUGCAAGAACGCCGGGGUGGGGAAGAAGGGCUUCGGGGUGUAAACCGGUUUUGCCUGGGAAGAAGCGGGAGUGACGGUAAUGGGGAAAGAAGCAACGGCUAACUACGUG